ACAAGUAGAAGUAUUGACCCUCAAGGUCAUUUUAGUAUUGAUUUCAUUAUGAGAUAAUCACAUUAUUUUCUCUUUAUCCAUUGAGAAUAAAUAGCAUGCAAUCUGUCACAGUCACUGGUUUGGCUAACUUGACUUCCAUGCCCAGCCUUAUUUUCUCUUGCCUGCCUCUAACCUAGAGAGUGGAAAACCUAAAUAUGCAAGUUUCCAGCCAACCCUGAAACCAUAGUGGCCACGUGACUAUUUUUGUUUUUUUGCAAAUGUGAUCUAAACAUAAGUUUACAGGGAAGUUUCUAGAAAAGCUUUUGCUUUUUUGAGAAAAGGGGACAAAUUUGGCUGAUGUUUUAUCUUCUUUUGUAAUGCCUGCCUUGGUUAUGGAUGUGACACCUAAAGUUAGGGAAACCUUGAGGCUGCGGUUGGAGGAUCACUUCUGGCCAGGAGUUUGAGGCUACAGUGAGCUACGAUCAGGCCACUGCACCCCAGCUUGGGCAACAAAAUAAGACUCCGUCUCUAAAAAAAGUUUAAGAAAGGAAAAAA
Molecule: long non-coding RNA, 534 nt
Organism: Homo sapiens (human)
Lineage: Eukaryota; Metazoa; Chordata; Mammalia; Primates; Hominidae
Source: Ensembl